RNAcentral lists this ribosomal RNA (774 nucleotides) under uncultured Neocallimastigales. RNAcentral describes it as "partial large subunit ribosomal RNA". It matches the Rfam family "Eukaryotic large subunit ribosomal RNA", at positions 22 to 628 of the family's 3401-position model. The record is from RNAcentral. Lineage: Eukaryota; Fungi; Neocallimastigomycota; Neocallimastigomycetes; Neocallimastigales.
GUACACGCUGUGACUAGCAUAUCAAUAAGCGGAGGAAAAGAAACUAACAAGGAUUCCCCUAGUAACGGCGAGUGAAGCGGGAAGAGCUCAAAUUUGAAAUCUUAAAGGGUUUCCCUUUACGAAUUGUAGUUUAAAGAAGUGUUUUCUGUAGAGGUUUUGGUAAAAGUUCUUUGGAAUAGGACAUCAUAGAGGGUGAGAAUCCCGUAUUUGACCUUUACUUUCCACUUUGUGAUACACUUUCAAAGAGUCGGAUUGUUUGGGAAUGCAGUCCAAAAUGGGUGGUAAAUUUCAUCUAAAGCUAAAUAUUGGCGAGAGACCGAUAGCGAACAAGUACCGUGAGGGAGAGAUGAAAAGAACUUUGAAAAGAGAGUUAAACAGUACGUGAAAUUGUCAAAAGGGAAGCGUUUGACACCAGUGUUGUUUUUCUGAAAAUCAAUUAAAGAACUGUUUAUGCUAAGCUGUUUAGACUUUAUCAGCUAACUGUUUAGUUUUGAGCUUUUCUUUAAUGCACUUUUCAGUUAACAAGUCAACAUCAAUUUCUUUUGCUGUAAAAAAGCUUGAGGAAGGUGGCUUGAGAUUCGUCUUAAGUGUUUAUAGCCUCUUGCCUAUGCAGUCGGAGAGAUUGAGGUCUGCAGCGUAGAUCCUUCGGGGCUAAAUGCAUUUGUGCUAAGUUAUAGCAUUUUAUAGACAACUUGUUGACUAUGAUUUGUCUUGUAGCUUACUCGCCUAUGUUAUUUUACCUACGCUUAGGAUGUUGAGUCGUAGAGCACGCAG